This 195-nucleotide ribosomal RNA is filed under the name uncultured Gammaproteobacteria bacterium. RNAcentral's name for it is "partial 16S ribosomal RNA". It matches the Rfam family "Bacterial small subunit ribosomal RNA", at positions 337 to 524 of the family's 1533-position model. The record is from RNAcentral. Lineage: Bacteria; Pseudomonadati; Pseudomonadota; Gammaproteobacteria.
UCCUACGGGAGGCAGCAGUGGGGAAUAUUGGACAAUGGGGGCAACCCUGAUCCAGCCAUGCCGCGUGUGUGAAGAAGGCCUUCGGGUUGUAGAGCACUUUCAGUGGUGAGGAAAGGGUAACCGUUAAUAGCGGUUACAGUUGACGUUAGCCACAGAAGAAGCACCGGCUAACUCCGUGCCAGCAGCCGCGGUAAU